AAUCUGUGGUGUGGGCACUUCUAAAUCAACAUCUUGAAAUGCUCCUAUGCUUUAUAAAUGUUUUCUCCUUCUAAUUAUUUGAAAAUCAAAAUUUCCUUUCAUAGCU
Non-coding RNA from Gossypium arboreum, 106 nucleotides. The record is from Rfam. NCBI's taxonomy places the organism in Eukaryota, Viridiplantae, Streptophyta, Magnoliopsida, Malvales, Malvaceae.